CCAUUCAACAAUGAAGCUGCACGUAAAAAGAUGUUCCCGGAUAUGCUGCAGCCUGUCAAUGUCUAAACUGAUGUGUUUUUUUCAAAGACACCAACCAGGGGCCAGUGGUUGGUGAUGACGUGAAACAUGGAGAGGCCUUGGAGAAAGAAAUCGUACUUGAUGAUUGCUAAUAGUAUUGCAGUUGCCUCAAGCUCAAGUGGAACCUGGCAGUACUCAUGAAUGGCAUCCAACUUGAUGCAGAAACGGGAGUCCUUGUUUACCUGACGGGUGAGAUCUUGAGCAGACGAGAAGGGGUGAACGGGUCUGUGAACGGCUUUGUUCAAAGCACGGUAGUCUGUGACAAAUCCCACUUUCUUCCCGGCAGGUUUAGGCAACAAGUGAGCCAGAGAGCGCCAAGUGGUUGGUUUGUCAACCUUUACAAUCAUGCCCGCCCCAAUGAGUUCGUUAAAGAGAACAUUGGCCUGCUCAGAGAGAUGUAGUUGUACUGGUCUGGCAACCUUUCAGAGUUCCAGACGUGUGGCUGAAAGAUGAUUUCAUAAUGUCACUAUAUUCUUUGGUGAUGGCAGCAAUUACCGCACUACCCCAUUGCAAGGUCACUCCGUUGACUUGGGCAAGGACAUCAACAAGUUCAUGAUGUCCUUCUUGGUCGUCUUUGACCCCGAAAAUGUUACCAACACCGCCCUCAUCAACAAUCUCGAAGUCUGAACAGCCCCCAGCAAGUCUCAAAAAAUUGUUGUCAUCAUCAUCACCACCUUUGCAAAGCCUAGCGCUCCUCAUUGCAAUUGGAGACGGGAAAUUUGAUGGCAAAAUUUGAAGCGCCAUCAAAUCCCACCAGCCUAUCAACGGAAGGCCAUCAAGAUCUGGGGAGACAAUGGUGCGAGUAAGUACUUGUGGGCUAUUCUCAGUGGUUCAAAGAAUGUUAAAGCACCAGCAUUUCUGAGAGUUGAGUCAUUGGCAGCAAGCAAACGCGUCGAAGAAGGCUUCAAUUCAACGUCUGAAGGAAGAGCAGUAGCAGGUGUUGCCGAGUCGGCAGCAACAAAUCGGGCAUUUGCUACAGAAGGGCUCUUUGAAGAUUGUCUCGAAAUUCUGGGAAAAAGGGGGCGCCGGGUCAGAGAUCGUCCCCGUUCAUACUCAGCCAAUGGACCACGAAGAAAAGGAGCUCUAUACAUGCGGCAAGGUGACCAAUCUUGUGGCAGUCAUAGCACAAUCUAUCCUUAUGGUGCAUUUCGACGACACUUGUUUUGACACAUAUUGUGAUCGCAUAUUCGACGAGAAGUUGGCAAUGUGACACAAAUCGAGAUUCAGAGAAUUUACACACACCAGUACAACACAGAAGACUAUCUAUGUCAAAUAUGCUGGCCUUCACAAGAUUACUGGUUCUCAAUGAUGGCGUGCGAUCAGGUGACAAAGGUAGGAGUAAUACUUGACCAAAAUGAAAACUUUGAAAAAAUAUGAAAAGUACCAUUGGUUUCAUUUGGCAGUUUAUGACAACGUUUCCUGCCCGUCAUUACAAUGCUGAGUAAUUUACUUCA
Tigriopus californicus is the source of this 1532-nucleotide long non-coding RNA. RefSeq lists it as uncharacterized. NCBI's taxonomy places the organism in Eukaryota, Metazoa, Arthropoda, Copepoda, Harpacticoida, Harpacticidae. The transcript has 3 exons. The record is from RefSeq and is a predicted model, not a curated record.